AGCGAACGCUGGCGGCAGGCUUAACACAUGCAAGUCGAGCGCCCGUAGCAAUACGGGAGCGGCAGACGGGAGAGUAACACGUGGGAACGUACCCUUCAGUUCGGAACAACCAAGGGAAACUUUGGCUAAUACCGAAUACGUCCGUAAGGAGAAAGAUUUGUCGCUGAAGGAUCGGCCCGCGUCUGAUUAGCUAGUUGGUGAGGUAAUGGCUCACCAAGGCGACGAUCAGUAGCUGGUCUGAGAGGAUGAUCAGCCUCAUUGGGACUGAGACACGGCCUAAACUCCUACGGGAGGCAGCAGUGGGAAUAUUGGACAAUGGGCGCAAGCCUGAUCCAGCCAUGCCGCGUGAGUGAUGAAGGCCUUAGGGUUGUAAAGCUCUUUCGGCGGGGAAGAUAAUGACGGUACCCGCAGAAGAAGCCCCGGCUAACUUCGUGCCAGCAGCCGCCGCAGU
RNAcentral lists this ribosomal RNA (451 nucleotides) under uncultured bacterium. Its description in RNAcentral is "bacterial SSU rRNA". It matches the Rfam family "Bacterial small subunit ribosomal RNA", at positions 29 to 524 of the family's 1533-position model. The record is from RNAcentral.